UUUCCGUAGGGGAACCUGCGGAAGGAUCAUUAUCGAGUUUGAAAGGAGUUGAUGCUGGCCUUCCGAGGCAUGUGCUCGCCCCUGUCAGAUCCAACUCAACACCUGUGCACAUCAGAGGGCGCGAGUGGUCUGUCCCUUGCCAACGGGCCUCGAUUCCUCCGUGGGUCGAGGCUUGGAGGGGUGGAUCCUGGCGACCUCCUUCACAUCACAAACUCUUGAACGUAUCCAGAACGUGUAGCAGCCCUCGUGUGGGGCAGUCUUAAUUACAACUUUCAACAACGGAUCUCUUGGCUCUC
Molecule: unclassified non-coding RNA, 296 nt
Filed under: plant metagenome
Description: partial contains small subunit ribosomal RNA, internal transcribed spacer 1, and 5.8S ribosomal RNA
Source: RNAcentral